UACAGAGGGGGCAAGCGUUAUUCGGAAUUAUUGGGCGUAAAGGGCGCGUAGGCGGCUUUUCAAGUGACGGGUGAAAUCCCUCGGCCUAACCGAGGAACUGCCUGUCAGACUGGAAGGCUUGAGACCGGGAGAGGUGAGUGGAAUUCCCAGUGUAGCGGUGAAAUGCGUAGAUAUUGGGAGGAACACCAGUGGCGAAGGCGGCUCACUGGACCGGAACUGACGCUGAGGCGCGAAAGCGUGGGGAGCAAACAGG
Molecule: ribosomal RNA, 253 nt
Filed under: uncultured bacterium
Lineage: Bacteria
Description: partial 16S ribosomal RNA
Rfam family: Bacterial small subunit ribosomal RNA
Source: RNAcentral